GAAUUUCAAGACGACGACGGAUCUUGACAGCGUAGAUAUUAUCUAUGAUUCAGAGCUCUUCUUAGUCGAUGAUGAUGAUGAUGAUGAGGAUCUCAUGGAAGAGGAAUCCACUUAUUACUCUGAUUCUUGGAAGAUCCGGACAUGUUUUAGGCAUACCUCUUGGAACCAUUGGCGCAAGGGGCACACCGUUCAUGUUGAUGACAUCUUGGUCAAUUACCCAAGGCAUUAUAUGAUGUUGCCUGAGCUGUGGGAUGCUGACAUUGGAAGAUACACACUGAGGAACCUGAGAAUUUGUUGCCCGGCCCUUAGCAUUGAUGGUAGUGAUGUGGUCUACCUUAUUUGUAAGGUCGGGGCUUAUGAUACGAAGAAAUGGAUUGUUGGUGUCGACCUUGGAAAGAAGACAGUUGAAGAACUUGAACAAUUUUCUGCUGGGAGAUACAGUUUGUACCAGAAGGCCUUCCUUGCCUUUGCAUUCUCCAGAUAUCUGAAUGCUACAAGGCAUGUUUUUUUUUCUUCGUCUCUCUUGAUAUAUGUUUGUUCCAUGAAUCUUUGUGCACCAUGUUACAGACUUGCCAAACUAACUGUGUAUUUUCCAUAGUCCCCACAUUAUUUUACCUGAUGGCAUCUGACAUCUUUGCUCUCUUGUUAUUUGGUUAAGGUCAUGUGCGCCGGAAGACAGUUCUGGCCGGAAUUUUCUGCCAAAUGAUCAUCAUAUGACAGGAUAUAUUAUUCAAAACAAUCUGGUAAGCAGUAUCUUUCAGUUGUGUAUGCGUCCAUUUUUCAUCUGUAUUCAGAAAGAUUUUACUAUGUCUCUAUGGUGACCCCAGCAGAACACGCAGACUGUAAGUGGCUACUAUAGUGAACAUGGUCAUGCUACGCCCCCAGGCUUCAACAACUACCCAAUCCAGCCACAGUUCGUUGUACACCCGUGCUCUUUUCCACGAAGCCUGCAGCCCAAUUUGACAUCGUCGGCAUUAGGUAAGAACAUUAUCCAUGCUUGUGACAUGGUGCUGUCCUUUUCAUUUACCCAUUCUUUUUAAUAUUUAACCCUAAAUAUUGCAAGUUAUUAAACAGUAGUAUUUGUUGUCAUUUAAAAGCUUGUGCAAAAGAUUUACCCAUCAUAGUGCCAUGCUUUAUAUGGAGUAUAUCUUCCAGAUUUACCAUUAAGAUACUAGGUUGGUUGAAAUUUCAUGUAUAUCAAAUGUUUCACGCUCUUGUUGUCGAGACUUGAACUUUGACAGAACGUCAUGAGAUAUAUAAAUACAUGAAAAGAUUGUGUGCUAUGAUAAAUGACCAUUUUUUCAAGUUGUGACUUAGGUAGCUCUCUUCACCAGUCAAAUCUGGAAGUAAUUAUACAAGAGACAAAUGACAAAAACUGCAUCAUCUUAUAAAAAAAGAAAAAAUAAAUGAAAUAACUACAUGUGUCAAAAAUUGGCUUUUGACAUGCCAAAUAAACAAUAGAAGCCAUCAAAUGAACUAAAAAAAAAUCAUUGGGAAUUGCAAAAACUAUUGCACUUAAGAAAAUAUAACUUACGAAAAGUUUGUUUCAGCUUCUCUUGAAAGGGAAGGCAGGAGAGAGUACUAAUUUGGAACUCUAAAUAAAGUCCUUGUAGAAAAGACGAAAAUUAGCUCAUUCUGCAAAAGCAUUGAAAAAUGAGGAUCCUUAACAGGUUACUACCGCUAAUUAUUUAAAAUUAUCAUUAUCUUCCAAUGCAUUAUUUUAUUAAUUAAAAUUGUGUGUCAAUUAAUUUGGUUAUAUUGAAUAUGUAAUAUGCAUUUUGACUUAACAUUGCUUUGCUGAAGGAUAUGUUCAUCCUGUAAGCGCCGAGUCGAUGUACCCAGUGAUGAACACUGACCCCCACGGCCAAGUAUGGAUCUCAAGGCCGCUGGAGAAUAACCGCUUCCUAUCUCAGAUGCCAGCGCCCCCGGCUGUGCCCUUCAAUACACAGAUGCAUUUGCCACUAGAUGGCCGCUUCAUGUCACAGCUGCCUCCGAUGCGACCAUCCCUGGCUGUGCCCUUCAACGGACCAAUGAAUCAGGUGUGGAUGCAACCAUCCACAUACGUACCCUUUACCCAACCCCAGCUGUUCCUGCCUCCUGCAUAAUUUGCAGAUUUGUAGAGUAUUGACAUGUAAUUUAACUAAGUUCUCUCUCAUGCAAGUUAUUUAAGGAAUAUCUCGAUGUUGUACUGCCGUGUUAACAAGAACAGAGAGUUUGUUUAUCAUGGUUGUGUUUCGUGGUAGGAGGUGUUAAUGUUUCAUGUUUCGUAGUAGGAGCUGUUAAUGUUUCAUGUUUCGUAGUAGGAGCUGUUUGGGUUCCUUCAUGUCCACACUAGAAGUGCUGCUAGCGUAAUUUGUCCUUCCACUUGUUAGUGUUGGUCCGUCUGCUAUUGUACCGCAGGAGAUGCAAUCUUCAGCGAGCGUAUAGUGCUACUCCCCUUCCAUCAAAGAGGGACUAGAACCGCCAUCUUCAGCGAGCAGCACACGGCACACCCGCCCCACUGCAGCCCGCAUGUAGAGCCUCUGGAAUCGUUCAUGCAGUGAGGUCCUGUGGACAACACCGACGCUGCCCUGUAGACUGUAGUGCCUUUCGUAUGGUCCUUGCCGUGAAGUCCUUUGAACAAUGAUCGUUCUCGUCGUCGUCGAGAUUUACGACCAAGCUCCAUCAAGCCUGCAACCUCCCAUGAGCUCCGGUACAUACAGAGGCUCCUACUCCCUCUCGUCCAAAGUGGCGGCAGUGCGCGGCGACAUACAGCGGUCCGUCCCCGUCUCCUGCCUGCCUCUCCUACCUAGAAUGUUGCCUCUCUAUGAUACUCAUCUGGUUUCUUUAUCCGUGAACGUAACACAUGCUGGUUUGUAUUCCCAUCUGAAAUUCUUCCGCCGUUGUUAUCCAAGAUCAUCGACUUCAGUGGAUGAAAAGGCAUCUAUAAGAGAGAAUUUAGCCCACUAGGAAGAAAGAAAGCCCAAAAAUAUCAAGGAACAUCGUCUGGUCCCGAAACAAGCUUGCUGAGACCCUCUCCUGGGGUUGAUUCUCUCAACCCUCCUAUUGACAAUAAAUAGCUCAUUGCGGCUGUUUCGUAAAAAAAAAGAGACAUGUAUAAGACCACUUACAUUUCUUAAUUUGUUUUAGAAAGUGUUAAGUCUUCCCUUACUUAUUAUUAUGAUUUUGCUAUUUCUUAGGCGACUGAAAAAUAACUAUUUCUUAGUCGACGAUAACAACAUUUUGAUUCAAUCAUUGAGAUUCGUGUAAGAUCAAUGUAUGUCCGAUGGAUAGGAAAAUCUUCAUUAGAUGGCUACGAUUGUCAACUGAGAAAUAACUAUUUCUUAGACGACUGAGAAAUAGACACUUCCUUAUUAUUAUGUCUACUCUUGAGUGGAUGAAUCAAUUUUUGAUAGGCAUUCAUAAGCCACACAAAUAUUUAUGAUUUUGAUUGAUAUUUUUAUGCAUGAGUUCAUUAUUCCAUAGAAAUACAUGGUCACAGUACUAUUCUUCCUACAACUGAGGGUGUAUACAACAUUACAACCACCCAUAUAGAUGAAUCUUGAUUUUAUUGUCCAAAGAUCACCAUUUCAAAGGAAGCAGGGAUUCGGGAUUUUGUUACUAAACUUCAACCCAUAUAUUGGCUUGACGUCAUUGUGUCAGAUUUGUUCCACGUUAGAUGAUUCAUUGUUUAGGCAGCUUUUUAUCUCUACUUAAAAUGUUUGAUUCUGAUUGGCCCAUAUUUUUCUAUAUCUAAAUAGAAGAUCUCAUUGUCUGAUUUUUCUCAACAUACAAGCAGGCUACCUCAGUAAGCCCACCACAUAGCCACGUCAACGCAUUUAUUUUCAAAUGCAAGCCAUUUGAGUUCCCUAGUAGUCUACUGUACGGUGACAAAUAACAGAUGUACCAUUGAAUUCUCCUCACAACGACCAAAGCUCUAAAUUCAAUUAUAAAUAGAGGUAGUUGCACCACUGGUCGGACUACUUGAGAGGUGUGAUCAUUUUAGUCCAACUUGGGAAAACUAGUUCUAAACCUUUGAUGAUGUGCCAAUUAGUCUGAACUGGACACGUGACGGCAACCUACAAUUUCAUCGGAGCGGGGGGGAUUUCACAAAAAGCCCCUUGGGCUGUAACAAUCACACGUAGGUCUCCCGGUAACAUAGGCAAAGUGACUCAAUGUAAAUUUGACAAUAAACCCCUUUCAGGUAUCUCUACAACUCCACCCAAACACAUCAUAUUUGAGACCAUUAAAUUACUAGAUGAAACAAGAUUAAGCCUACUGAGAACCCUAUCUAAAACCCCACCAAAAUGAUCCAAAAUUGAAACGAUGUGAGGCGAAAAAGGAGCUUAACACAUACUGUGGUGAUCCAUCAUCCUACCGAGAGCCAUGGCUCGGGCGGCAUCCUCACAAAAUAGUUGCCGACGAGGUGUGAUCGGCCGCCGCGUCGUCGUUGAAGCGCCAAGAAAUUGCCUGGGUGGAAGGGUAGACGAAGAUGUGUUUGGGUGGAGAUGAAGAGGUAACUGAAUCUCCCACCAUGAUUUCAUAUGAUGGGAGAUUAACUGUUGUCAAAGCUGUUAUCAAUGCCAUUCCCACAUAUGCAAUGUGUGCAAACAUGCUUCCAUUAACUAUCAGAUUUCUUUGGAGUGGUAAAGACAUCAAUAAGCGUGGUAAAUGUCUGGUUAAAUGGGAAAAGGUAUGUCGACCUAAAACUGCUGGUGGACUCGGUAUCUGAGAUAUGAGAACUCAGAACAGAGCACUUAUCAUGAAGAAUUUGCACAAUUUUUUCAAUAAACAUAACAUUCCGUGGGUUAAACUUAUUUGGAAUGCCUACUACCACAAUGAUACAUUUCCUGGUAAUAUCAUUGGUUCAUUUUGGUGGAAGGAUUGCCUCAAGCUGAUGGAUUUAUACAAAUAGCUCAGUGUAUUGUCUCAAGUGGCAACUCUGUUUCUCUCUGGCAUGAUAACCAAAGCCUGAAUUCAACUUGCGCGGGGAAGGUGGCCCGCAACAAAUCCGUGAUGCCACUUGUUGUAAUGGUGUUAUCAAGUUUGUUGAGAUAGAGCAUAAUGAGACACUUGUUACUGUUGAGAGGAAUAAGAAGUUGAAUUUCAAGACGACGACGGAUCUUGACAGCGUAGAUAUUAUCUAUGAUUCAGAGCUCUUCUUAGUCGAUGAUGAUGAGGAUCUCAUGGAAGAGGAAUCCACUUAUUACUCUGAUUCUUGGAAGAUCCAGACAUGUUUUAGGCAUACCUCUUGGAACCAUUGGCGCAAGGGGCACACCGUUCAUGUUGAUGACAUCUUGGACAAUUACCCAAAGCAUUAUAUGAUGUUGCGUGAGCUGUGGGAUGCUGACAUUGGAAGAUACACACUGAGGAACCUGAGAACUUGUUGCCCGGCCCUUAGCAUUGAUGGUAGUGAUGUGGUAUACCUUAUUUGUAAGGUCGGGGCUUAUGAUACGAAGAAAUGGAUUGUUGGUGUCGACCUUGGAAAGAAGACAGUUGAAGUACUUGAACAAUUUUCUGCUGGGAGAUACAGUUUGUACCAGAAGGCAUUCCUUGCCUUUGCAUUCUCCAGAUAUCUGAAUGCU
RNAcentral lists this long non-coding RNA (5564 nucleotides) under Brachypodium distachyon (stiff brome). Its description in RNAcentral is "long non-coding RNA (BDIS_LNC001467)". Lineage: Eukaryota; Viridiplantae; Streptophyta; Magnoliopsida; Poales; Poaceae. The record is from RNAcentral.